UGGGGAAUAUUGGACAAUGGGCGAAAGCCUGAUCCAGCCAUGCCGCGUGUGUGAAGAAGGUCUUCGGAUUGUAAAGCACUUUAAGUUGGGAGGAAGGGCAUUAACCUAAUACGUUAGUGUUUUGACGUUACCGACAGAAUAAGCACCGGCUAACUCUGUGCCAGCAGCCGCGGUAAUACAGAGGGUGCAAGCGUUAAUCGGAAUUACUGGGCGUAAAGCGCGCGUAGGUGGUUUGUUAAGUUGGAUGUGAAAUCCCCGGGCGCAACCUGGGAACUGCAUUCAAAACUGACUGACUAGAGUAUGGUAGAGGGUGGUGGAAUUUCCUGUGUAGCGGUGAAAUGCGUAGAUAUAGGAAGGAACACCAGUGGCGAAGGCGACCACCUGGACUAAUACUGACACUGAGGUGCGAAAGCGUGGGGAGCAAACA
Molecule: ribosomal RNA, 427 nt
Filed under: uncultured bacterium
Lineage: Bacteria
Description: partial 16S ribosomal RNA
Rfam family: Bacterial small subunit ribosomal RNA
Source: RNAcentral